Molecule: long non-coding RNA, 970 nt
Organism: Uranotaenia lowii
Lineage: Eukaryota; Metazoa; Arthropoda; Insecta; Diptera; Culicidae
Exons: 5
Source: RefSeq, a predicted model, not a curated record
GAAUAAUGGAUUCGAGAAAAAAACGAAAAAGUGCCUACCGAGUUCCUGUUGGUAAUGAUCAAUAAGCUGCUCGAAGUUUACGAUUCCACCGGCGUGUUAUUCAAAUUUGAAAUUGUUUUAUUAUUUAACCAACCCUCAGCAGUUGUCCAAGAAAAAAAUUGACCAAAGAAAGGUAAUUACAAAGGAUCGUCGGUACUUGAUAAAAUUUUCCUUUUGCGGAAGGCUUGAGCCAAACUUAAAAUUGACACUAAGGGAUAGAUACCUCGUUCCUUGGUUUUUCAUGAUUUUGAUGACCUGCUGUAUAUGUUUUCAUAUCCAUCGAAACAUAACGAGAAGGAUGUCCAAAUCUUCAUCAGCCGGGAGAUUUGUGAACAAUCUUUGUUUAAUUUGGUUUACCACAAGUUGUUUUACAUGCUGACGUUGAUGGACUGGUGGAAGGUGAUGAAAGGCAAACGCAUCUGGAACAAUGAUUCAACGUUAGACAAAGAAACAACGCGUGAAGCGAGCAUAGGUGGCGAUAUUCUAACAUUGUAGUUGAAGUUGGUAGUGGAAUCUGAGAAAUCUAUGUUGAUAGUAUUAAGGCAUGUACGCGGACGAAUCGAAACAGGCUAAAAAGAAAAGGUUUUAAACCAAAAUUUGAAAAAUACAAAAAAGUGAAUCUUAGGUUUUAAAUUUUGCGUUUUAGCUGGCACGUGUUUAAUUUAUAAUCAUUGUUUUCAAUAGUAUUGUAAAAUCAAAACAUGAGUAUAGAUCACAAAACUGAAGAAAGUGGAAAACAUGCACCGUGAGCGGCAUUUUUCAAUCAGAUUGAAGUUACUUAGGGAUAAAUCCCAUCGCACAAGCCACUAAGUAGGACGAACAUUUUUUUGGUGCAGCAAGCACCUAUGUGGAAGUAAUGUGUGGUUCAGGUGGUAAUAGUUUUUCACAAAAAAGAACGAUUGCGUUCGCAGUUUUGAAAUCAAAAAAUAAA